GGUUAAUAUUCCCGUACUUGGUGUUACUGCGAAGGGGGGACGGAGAAGGCUAUGUUGGCCGGGCGACGGUUGUCCCGGUUUAAGCGUGUAGGUGUGUGUUCCAGGUAAAUCCGGUUCACUUUAACACUGAGGCGUGAUGACGAGGCACUACGGUGCUGAAGCAACAAAUGCCCUGCUUCCAGGAAAAGCCUCUAAGCAUCAGGUAACAUCAAAUCGUACCCCAAACCGACACAGGUGGUCAGGUAGAGAAUACCAAGGCGCUUGAGAGAACUCGGGUGAAGGAACUAGGCAAAAUGGUGCCGUAACUUCGGGAGAAGGCACGCUGACAC
This 329-nucleotide ribosomal RNA is filed under the name Salmonella enterica subsp. enterica. Its description in RNAcentral is "partial 23S ribosomal RNA". It matches the Rfam family "Bacterial large subunit ribosomal RNA", at positions 1428 to 1757 of the family's 2925-position model. Lineage: Bacteria; Pseudomonadati; Pseudomonadota; Gammaproteobacteria; Enterobacterales; Enterobacteriaceae. RNAcentral also lists the same sequence under 1 other name. The record is from RNAcentral.